UGGCUGGAUCUGGCAGUCGCACAUGAUAGAGCAGCCUGAGCGUGAGGAAGUGACCCGGUCGCGGUAGGGUGCAAGCCAGGGAGAGCUUUCCUUCCCUGGCUGGAAAGCACCCCAAGGGGGCUGAGAAGCAGACACACACACUGAUACCUCGCCAGCCUGCAGAGCCCAGCUCUCUGGCCCUGGGCAGGGCCAGUGCCAGCAAAGGCGAGGGGCAAAGACCUGGGAAAAGCCUGCUGUACAGCCCAUGCCUGGCCAAGGGGAUCACUGUCACCAACGUUGGCAGCCAUCUCGUGGGAGUGGAGGUUAUUUGCAGGCAAGGGCCGGGUGAGCUGUGCCUCACCAUUCCAGGUGCUUGUCCAAGAGGGACGGGAGAAGGCAGAGGCCAAGGGGGACGCCCUGGGGAGAAGGGGAUGUGGCGACGAUGAGAAGAGCCUCUCCGCCACAGUUAGGAGACAGAAAUUACAAGGAAGGCAGAUCGCCGACCAGGUCAAGCACUAGGACUGGACAAGGUCUCUUUCCCCAGCUCUGGCUUCCAGCCCAAAGAGCCAACAGAAACCAGUGAAAUAGCAGGAGAAGGAGGCUCGGAGAAGUCGUGCUAUGGCCAGCAAAUCCCCAAACCUGAAGAUAAUCCCUAGGAUCCUGAACCUCUCCGGCCAUGGGAACAGGACUACUAAAGUGACGAGGACGCAGCUGAAGACUGCUCUCAAAGUCCUUUCUCGGGGGCCUCCAUGGGGCACCACCUCCUUUUUGUACUCUGUGGUCAGUUUCGGCCACCGCAGUUGAACGUCUUCUGACUGCUACAUACUGUGACAGGGGCAGAAAUAAAGAGCCCCGGGGCGUGUCCAUGGCGGGGGGAGGGGGGUGUCCCUCUCUUGUGGGAGGAAAUGCUACUGAAUUAAUUCAAUCAGAGAUUCAACAAGUAUUUAUGGAUUUAUGGGGCGCCACCUGUGUACCAAGUAUUCCUCUAACCAGAGGGUCCCACGGGGAGCUUAUUUUCUAGUGGCGAGGCAGGCAAUAGAUCAGAAAACAUAAAACCGGUUAAAGGUUGCUGUGACUGCCCUCAGGGAAGCAAGCCAGAUGAUUCGGUACCUACUGCCUAGCGCCCCAGAGAAGUGGCAGGGCAGCACAUAUGAAGUUCAGGGAAGACCGCUCUGAGGACAAGGUCGCUAAGCUGCCAGUCCUGCAAGGCACUGGGGGAACAGCCAGCCCAGCAGAGGGGACUGCGAUUCCCUGGCCCUGUGGCAGAAAAGAAGGGUUCUGGAGGGACAGAAAGGAUGCCCGUGUGGCUGGAGCCCAGUGUGACAGGCGAUAGAGGUAAGGAGCAGAGGAAGGUGCGGUGGGGCCUGGAGCUGUGACAAAGAGUUUGAUCCUUAUUCAGAGAGUGCUCUGGGGAACCAGAGAGAGGAUUGAAGCAGGGGACUGCCAUGAUGUGAUUUCCAUUCAAUGGUUGCUCUCCGGCUGCUCUGUUGGAAAAUAUUGCAAGCGUCAGGGCACAGAGAAGAGCAGGCGGGCCGGUAGGGAGGCAGUUGCAGGAGUCCAGGGGAGAGACUGCUGUGGCUUGGCCCAGACUGGAAGCAUGCAUUUGCGGAAUAGUGUGUGGAUUCACAUAGUAUUUUGGAAAUACAAGAGACUGCACUUGCUGACGGGUUAAAGGCAGUCAGUGAAAAAACUUUGGGGCAGCUGGAGACACAGAAUUAUCGAGACCAGAGGAUACAGAUGGCGUUUAUUAAAGCCAGGAGACUGCGUGGGACCACCUGGAGAGAGUGUGGCCAAGAGAAGAAGGUGCUGGGCUACUCCCUGAGACACUCUGACAGUGAGAAGUUGGGUUGAGGAGCACAAGCCUGAAAAAGAGAUUCAGAAGGACUGAGCAGGGAACAGGCCUUCUCUCCAACCCCCGUGCCCAAACCUCCCUCCUCUCCAAGGCUUUCCAUGUCCAUCCCGCCUCAGGAUCCUCACUCAGGUCCUGCUCUCCGUGCCCCCAGCUGGGCGUGCAUGGCAGUUGCUUUACAGUGGGACAAGGACGACUUUAUGUGCUACCGUUGGGACUUCUCCUUCUGAUCAUUUCUCAGUGGAGCUUAGAAAAGAGAGAGGCUCAGAGACAGAGAUCUUCAAAGAGUGGGGUGGGCAUGACUCCGCUAUUUCAUGUGGCUCACCUCCUUCUUCCUGUCAGGAGGGAGAAACUGGAAGGAGUAGGGAUGCAGUUCAGAGAGCAGGGGACAAAGAGCACAAAAGAAUGGAAGGAGGAGGGGGAUGGGGCACCAGUGGGGAGAGGGACAGAUCAGCUGUAUACACAAAAGGGAAUCAAAACAAAGGAAACAGGGGUCUACUUGAAGAAGCCUGUUCCCAUGACUUGCUCACUGCCACAGGUGUGUGCAUGUGGGCGUGGGGGGAGGGGCAGUGCUUAGGAGCAUAGAGAAUGAAAGCACAACUGUAUUUUGGAGUAGAGAAAUUGUUUCUGUCCAUUCACACUGAAUUCCUCCAAAUAAAGAUAAUUAUGGGUUGCAGGCUGA
Molecule: non-coding RNA, 2510 nt
Organism: Microcebus murinus (gray mouse lemur)
Lineage: Eukaryota; Metazoa; Chordata; Mammalia; Primates; Cheirogaleidae
Source: RefSeq, a predicted model, not a curated record